AACGAACGCUGGCGGCAUGCCUAACACAUGCAAGUCGAACGAGACCUUCGGGUUUAGUGGCGCACGGGUGCGUAACGCGUGGGAACCUGCCCUUAGGUUCGGAAUAACUCCCCGAAAGGGGUGCGAAUACCGGAUAUUGUCUUCCAACCAAAGAGUGAUCGCCUUUGGAUGGGCCUGCGUUGUAUUAGCUAGUUGGUAGGGUAAAAGCCUACCAAGGCGAGGAUCGGUAACUGGUCUGAGAGGAUGAUCAGCCACACUGGUACUGAGACACGGUCCAGAAUACUACGGGAGGCAGCAGUGGGGGAUAUUGGCCAAUGGGCGAAGGCCUGAUCGACCAAUGACGCGUGAGUGAUGAAGGCCUUAGGGUUGUAAAGCUCUUUUACCCGGGAUGAUAAUGACGGUACCGGGAGAAUAAGCACCGGCUAACUCCGUG
RNAcentral lists this ribosomal RNA (433 nucleotides) under uncultured bacterium. RNAcentral's name for it is "partial 16S ribosomal RNA". It matches the Rfam family "Bacterial small subunit ribosomal RNA", at positions 29 to 507 of the family's 1533-position model. The record is from RNAcentral.